UGCGUAGGUGGCAAGCGUUAUCCGGAUUUAUUGGGCGUAAAGGGAACGCAGGCGGUCUUUUAAGUCUGAUGUGAAAGCCUUCGGCUUAACCGGAGUAGUGCAUUGGAAACUGGGAGACUUGAGUGCAGAAGAGGAGAGUGGAACUCCAUGUGUAGCGGUGAAAUGCGUAGAUAUAUGGAGGAACACCGGUGGCGAAAGCGGCUCUCUGGCCUGUAACUGACACUGAGGCUCGAAAGCGUGGGGAGCAAACAGG
RNAcentral lists this ribosomal RNA (253 nucleotides) under uncultured bacterium. RNAcentral describes it as "partial 16S ribosomal RNA". It matches the Rfam family "Bacterial small subunit ribosomal RNA", at positions 524 to 776 of the family's 1533-position model. The record is from RNAcentral.